GGAAAAUUAAAGCCUAUGUGGCUGACAAAGCAACGAAUUUAUGGGGAAGUAGUUUGUUGCAGCAAUGGGAAACACAGAUAAACAUUCCUCCAGUCUCAGAAAUAAAUCAUAAAGAAUGCUUCUGAGAGCAAUACUAAAAGGUAUUAUCAAGAAUAUUCUCUGACUGUUCAGGUUGUACAUAAACAGCACAACAGCUGUUGGUCUUUCAAAGGUACCAACAGCCCUACCUUUAAAAUGGCUGACAAACCAUCCUGUAUGGGGGAAACAGUGGCCUUUGUCAUCAGAAAAAUUACAAGCACUAGAAUAACUGGUACAGGAACUGCUAAAUGCUUAACAUACUGAAGAAGCAACUAGUCCUUAGAAUUGUCCUGUAUUUGUUAUUAAAAAGAUAUCUGGAAAAUGGAGAAUGGUAACAGACAUGAGAGCUGUAAAUUAGGUGAUUCAGCCAGUGGGCUCCUUACAGUCUGGGAUUCCCUUGCCUUCCUUACUACCUAAAGGUCUUUUAAUGAUUAACAAACUGCUUUUUUUUUUUUUUUUUUAUAACUGUACCUUUACAGGAAAUGGAUAGAGAAAAAUCUCAGCUCGUUAAAAGGAGAAGAAACGCUAUGUAUACCAUCAAGAUUGAUAAACAUGAGAUUCGAACAGGAGAGACCUUUUAAUUAGUAGAGGAGGUAUUUUACCAAACAGCUUGGUCAUUCAAUCCAAAGUAACUUAGAAAACUAAAAGAUGCAGGGGCUGGAGAGAUGGCUCAGUAACCACUGACUGCUCUUCCAGAGGACUGGGGUUCAGUUUCCAGCACCCACAUGGCAGCUCUUGACCCUCUGUAACUGUAGUGCCAGGAGAUCUGGAACCCUCACACAGAAAUAAAAUGCAUGCAAAACACCAAUACAUAUAAAAAUAAUUUCUUUGCCGGGUGGUGGUGGCACACGUCUUUAGUCCUAGCACUCUGGAGGCAAGGGCAGGCAGAUCUUUGUGAGUUCAAGACCAGCCUAGUCCUGGUCUACAAGAGCUUGUUUCAGGGCAGCCUCCAAAGCCACAGAGAAACCCUGUCUUGACACCCCC
Molecule: long non-coding RNA, 1062 nt
Filed under: Cricetulus griseus (Chinese hamster)
Lineage: Eukaryota; Metazoa; Chordata; Mammalia; Rodentia; Cricetidae
Description: lncRNA (ENSCGRG00015043083.1)
Source: RNAcentral